Molecule: ribosomal RNA, 622 nt
Filed under: uncultured Basidiomycota
Lineage: Eukaryota; Fungi; Basidiomycota
Description: LSU rRNA
Rfam family: Eukaryotic large subunit ribosomal RNA
Source: RNAcentral
CAACGCGCUUUGGAUGCUGGCGUAAUGGCUUUAAUCGACCCGUCUUGAAACACGGACCAAGGAGUCUAACAUACAUGCAAGUGUUUGGGUGAAAAACCCAUGCGCGAAAUGAAAGUGAAAGUUAAGAACCCUCAAGGGUGCAUUGACGCCUGGCCCAGAACAAUUUGUGACGGAGCUACGGUAGAGCAUGCAUGUUGGGACCCGAAAGAUGGUGAACUAUGCCUGAAUAGGGUGAAGCCAGAGGAAACUCUGGUGGAAGCUCGCAGCGAUUCUGACGUGCAAAUCGAUCGUCAAAUUUGGGUAUAGGGGCGAAAGACUAAUCGAACCAUCUAGUAGCUGGUUCCCGCCGAAGUUUCCCUCAGGAUAGCAGACGCUCAUUUAUUCAGAUUUAUGUGGUAAAGCGAAUGAUUAGAGGCCUUGGGGUUGAAACAACCUUAACCUAUUCUCAAACUUUAAAUAUGUAAGAUGAGACGGUUUCUUAAAUGAACCGUUUCAUGAUUGAAGAGCGUCUAGUGGGCCAUUUUUGGUAAGCAGAACUGGCGAUGCGGGAUGAACCGAACGUGAGGUUAAGGUGCCGGAAUCUACGCUCAUCAGACACCACAAAAGGUGUUAGUUCAUCUAG